Molecule: long non-coding RNA, 1249 nt
Organism: Rhagoletis zephyria (snowberry fruit fly)
Lineage: Eukaryota; Metazoa; Arthropoda; Insecta; Diptera; Tephritidae
Source: RefSeq, a predicted model, not a curated record
CGGGCGAUGAGCGACAGUUUGUUUCUUGCUUUUGGAAAGGAAGGUUGGUAGCACCGGUUGAAAAACGUAAUCAAAGCUAAAUACUCGGGACGGAACAAAAACAAAAAGCAGUGCUCGCUCGCGGUGGUAAAAAUUUGUUGUAGUAAGCAAAUAGCAAAGCAGAAGCGCACAAAGUGUGAAACGAAGAGAGAAGUAGAAGGAAGAAAGAAGAGGCGGCAGCACCACUUCACAACAACAAUACACAUUGCUUUUGGGGAUUUGUUGGUGCUCCCGCAGUGGCGCUACUAGCUGGCUGUGCUCUCAUCUGCUGUGCGUUGCACAGUGUGUGUAUGUGUAUAUUUGGUUCAUGCAUGCAAUACAUUUGUUGUUGGAUUGAAUUAUUCGUUCCAUCGCACCACACGCCUUGUGCACAAAUCAAAUACCACUAGAACGCCUCUUUAGGAAACUGAUGGUUGGAGAAGCUUUAUUAAGCAUAGCGUAUGGAGUGUAGCUGGCAAGCAGAAGAAGGUGCCGCACAGCAUUCUAGUGAAUUGGGAUUUCUCCCACUCAAAGGGAUAUAUAAAGUAGCAUAAAGUAUAGUAUUUGUGAAAACGUCCAACGAGUAUAUUCUCAAUUUGCGACAAUUGGAGCAAACGGAUAGCAAGAAGGCAAUGACAGUCACUGCGAUUGUGACGACGAAGUCAAAACUGCAUUGGCAAAUACAACUGGUGAACAUUGAUUUAUGCAUUUAGACGUUAUUCACAAAAAGUAAAAUUUGAAACUAAAGAAACAAACGAGCUCAAGUUAACGUAGAGUUAGUUGAGCAACAAAACGAUAAACAUAUUCACUAUUUGAAUUUCAAACAAAGAGCAAGCAGCGCCAACAUCAUCUUUACUUUACCUCCAACGCUCCCUUUAUAUUUGACGCCGCGGAUGUGGGCCCGUCUUCUACAUGCCGAUAUUCCAUGUUUAGCCAUUACUCAGGUAGAGAGUUGUACGUGUUGUGCUCUGAAUGAAAGAAAGUUUCCUGCAUUGCAAUGAAAUGGUCGAGUCUCUCUGCUAGUUGUGGCAAGCUCUACAUUCUACAUACUUUCGACGUUCUACGUUGGCUCCAAUAGAAAAUAUUGGAUAAUAUACUGCGAUAAUUUUUUCCUGAUAUCGAUGCAGAUGUAGUAAUUCAACAAGUGCAUUAUUUUUUCAAAAGCAAAAAAAAACCGUAUUUAGAAUAUACCAAAAAUCACUGAACAACUAAAGAGAAAGCUAAUAAAAAA